ACCCCUCAAUUUCUUUUAAAAUUUAUUUUAUUAUAUCAUUUUGUGUGUGGGCGGGUGUUACCUGUUAGAUAUCUGUGCAGUACAUGUGUGCAAUGACUCCAGGGUCAUAAAAGGGUAUCAGAUCCUUUGGGACUAUUGUUACAAAUGGUUAUGAACUACCAGGGAUUAAACUUAGGUCCUCUGCAAGAGCAUCCAGUGCUCUUAACCACCCAGCUAUUGCUCCAACUCUCAGAAUUUAAUCUGUUUUUAAAAGAUGUGUUUGUCUAUUUGUUUAUUUAAUGUAAUAAUAAGUACACUGUACUUAUUUAUUUUAUGUAAUGUAAUAAUAAGUACACUGUAGCUGUUUUCAGACACACCAGAAGAAGGCAUCAGAUCCCAUUACAGAUGGUUAUGAACCACCAUGUUGUUGCUGGGAAUUGAAAUCAUGACCUCUGGAAAAGUAGCCAGUGCUCUUAACUGCUGAGCCAUCUCUCCAGACCCAAACUCAAUUUCUUAAUAAAAUUAUAUCUAAAGUUAGUUUUACUAGAACAUUUUUAUUGUGCACAAGUAUAAUAGUAAAGUGCGAUGAUUGUGGUCUCUCUCUUUUUUAAAGAUUUAUUUAUUUUUAUGUAUGUGUGUACCCUAUCACUCUCUUUAGACACACCAGAAGAGGACAUCGAAUCCUAUUACAGAUGGUUGUGGAGUAAGCUGCAGAAGUACAAAUUCCCCUUCAACGUCUGUGGUUUAGAAGGGAAUCAGGUCAGACCAGCAGGAACAUCUUGUCACAUUUACCCUUGAUAUGAUUUCUCCAAACUUAACCUGUAUAUUUAUUAAAAUUCCAAUAAAUUACUUUUUUUAAGUUGGCAAACUAAUUUAAAAAUAUUUUCAGGAGGGACUGGAGUCAACAGUUAAUAGUACUGUUGCUCUUUCAGAGGACCAGGUUCAGUUCCCAGCACCUACAUGGUUCACAGCCAACUCUAUGUAGUUCCAGGGGAUCCAAUGGCAUUCAUAUGUGCAUGCAGGAAACACAUUAGCAUAAUUUUUAAAGUACUCAGGAGAUAUAUCGGGAGGACAGUAAAAAUCAUCUUUAAACAAGAACAACAUCUUUAAGCAGAACAACCCAAAGAGUUUUAUACCUUUAAUCUCCCAAGAAGCAGGUGGAUCCCUCUCAAACAAAACAAAAGACAGUUCUAAGACUGCAGCUGACAGGGCCUAGGAAUUGUGCCUGCCACUGUUUUCCUGUUUUGUCUUGUUUUAAUUUUUGAUUUUUUGUUCUUAGGUAAUGUUUUUGGUUUGUGUUUUGUUUUGAAACUGUCUCUCUAGUAGUCCUGGGUGUCCUGGAACUCACUAUAUAGACAGGCUUGCCUCAAAUUCACAGAGGUCUGCCUGCCUCUGCCUCCCAAGUGCUGGAAUGAAAAGCUUAUACCACAGGGGCUGGGGGCUGGGGACUUAGCUCAGCGGUAGAGCGCUUGCCUAGCAAACGCAAGGCCCCGGGUUCGGUCCCCAGCUCCGAAAAAAAGAACCAAAAAAAAAAAGCUUAUACCAUUAUGUCCUGCUUUGCAGUGUUUUGUUGUUUUUUUUUUUUUUAAAGACUUAUUUAUUUUAUAUAUAUGAGUACACUGUUGCUGUCUUCAGACACCAGAAGGGGGCAUCCGAGCCCAUUACAGAUGGUUGUGAGCCACCAUGUUGUGGCUAGAAAUUGAACUCAGGGCCUCUGGAAGAGCAGUCAGUGCUCUUAACCACUGAGCUAGCUCUUCAGCCCUUGCCACUGGUUUUUUAAAGAAACUUGGUCAGAAGGCCAAGGAAAAAGCAGUUGGGGGGGGUGUUAGUAAGGGAGAUAUUCUUGAUUUGGGAGCAUUUUCAGGAAUAUUAGAUUUAAUACUCUGGCAAGAAUCCUGGAAGAUAGUGCCAACUUUUUUCUAGGAUGACCUCUGGAAGGCAGAGAAUGCUGUCCAUGUUAACUGCUGUUGGAAUGCUAGACCUGCCAUGACCAUAGAAUAAAGGCUUAACAGGCCUGCCCAGAAAAUUAAGCAUACUAAAUGGAUGUACUAUGUAAAGUGACAGGCUCUCCCUCAGAAAGGGCAGUAGAAACUAUCCUAAUAAAAGGACAUUUGUCUCUCUCUCCAAAAAGCUCACUUCUUGCAGCUCACUUAUGCAGGCCAAAGCUGGUGAUAGGAGAGGUCAUGCAGGCUUCCUGGUAGGAACAGCAACAGUAGGACUAUAUUAAUAUAGUUUGUGACAACACUUAAUGACCACAUGAUUUCAGUCAUAAUGUGUGUCAAGUUCAGGGGGCAGGCAGGUGUUGCUUUUGUGCAACUUCAUAAAAAAGUGAUUAGACAUGGUUCCUUGAUGGUUAACGUUUAAAAUUGAACACUGGGCUGUGCGUUGGUGGUACAUACCUUUAGAACCAGCACUUGAGAAGCAGAGGCAGGAGGAUCUAUUUGUUUUUCUAGGUUUUGGGGUGGCUUAUUUAAUGUGUCAACUUUGCUGAGCCCAUGACAUUACUGAUUAUUCUAGAAGUGCAUGUGCAAGUAUACUUGGAGGAUAUUAACUUUUCUUUUCCUAUUUUAUGGAUCUCUACAUAGCCCUGACCUUUUGGAACUCACUAUAUAGACUAGGCUCACAUAGCUCUGCCUGCCUCUUCCUCCGAGUGCUGGGCUUAAAGGCAUGUGCCACCACGCCAGCAGCAGAGGUUAACAUUUAAAAGUGUAGACUUUGAGUAAAGCAUCUCAGCCUUCAUAACGUGGGUCAGUGUCAUCUAAUCAAUUGAAGGGCUAAAUAGAAGGAAGAAGCUGGUCUGCUCUGAGCAACAUGGAAUCCUCCAGAAGACUGCCUUUAACAUCAUUGUCAGUAUUGACCGUUUUCACUGUUUCUGGGCAGACAGAUGGCCUUUGAAGUCCAACUGCAGCAGUGGUUCUUUUGAGUCUCCAGCCUGAAUAUUUUGGAACUGACAGUCUCCACAAGAGAGGUUCAAAUUGGCGGUGUAACAAAUACAACACAAUAAUAUCUUCACCUAUUAGCUUAAUAUUGAUUCUGUUUCUUUGAGUAACCCUGGUUUACUAAUGUCCUGGUUGUAAAAUAGGAAGCUAGCCAAAUGGUUUGUUUUAUACAGUCAAAAGAAAUGAAGACUGUGUGAUCAGGAAUAUGCUUUCAGCUUUCUGUAUCCAUAACAAAACAUUUGACUAAUUAACUUGUUAAACUGUUUAUUUCGGUCCAUAGUUUUGAAGACUUCUGUCAUAGUCUUCAUUAUUUUAAACCAGGUACCAUUAAAAUAUAGAUCAAGUUUAUACCAUACUUCACUUUUCUUGUCAUUUUGGAAAAAAUACCAAGAGAUGGUGACAGAAAAACAUGUAUCCUCCCAUGGAAUGUAUAUACUAAAGCGAAAUAUGUGGAACUCACAUUUAAAAGGCAUAAUUCAAUACCAUAACCAUGUUAGUAGUCAUUGAAUGGCACAGUUACAACAGUAUGUUAGGCACUAUUUUAAUAGAGACAAAAUUUUUACCAAGAGAGAUAGCAAGGUACAUUUGUUUGUAAUGAAUCUUUAAAGGACUCUUUCUUUCUUUACCAUCACUGUGUGCAGCAAGUGAUCGAGAGUGUGUUGUGAUUGAUCGGAUUGCCACGGCUCAGGGCUCUGGUCUAGUUAGAGAAGUAUGGUCUGCUGUUAUAGAAGUGUCGGAUCGCAUAGCACUUCAUCCAUGUUCAAAAGAAUAGUAUUGUCCCUUAGUUCACAGGUGAAGAUUGGUUGCCCAGGAAAACAUUGGUGCAAGCAUUUGAGGUUCAUUAAGGUCCUGAAGCAUGAAUGUAUCAACUGUGAGAUUUGUAAGAGUAGCUUUGUUUGGGCGUCUGUUUUACUGUUGACUGAGAAGGGAUUUUGCUCUAUAGCAGUGACCCUGCUGUCUCUGGAUGAUAGCAGUGCAACACCACACCUGGCCCUGUUACUUUACUAUUUUAAAGUACAAAAGAUCAACUCUGAGUGAUUUCCCCCUAGAGGUGAUGAUGUUCCCUUUGCUUUUCCAACUUAAGUCCUUCUGGGCAACUAUGAGGAAACCAUAUGGAUCCAAAUGGAUCUUUAGUCUUGCUUAUAUCCUUUUUAUUUGAUCAGAUCUAAGGAAUUAUGCAAAUUCAGAGCACUCUGAAGUUUUGGAAGUUCUUGGAAGUUCUGCUCUUCAUUAAACUAAGGGCCAUAAAAAAACAAACAUCAUUCUUAAAAUGCAUUUUUUUUAAAAAGAUUUAUUUUAUUUAUAGAUGGUUGUGAACCACCAUGUGGUUACUAGGAAUUGAACUCAGGACCUCUGGAAGAGCAGUCAGUGCUCUUAACCACUUAGCCAUCUCUCCAGCCCCUUAAAAUGUUUUCACUAAUCCAGAUUCUGUUUUUCAGUGGUGUAAAGAAAACUCAUGAAGUACUUCAGGUUUCCAGGCUCAGAAACUCUCUUUUACUUGCUCCUAUGAAGAUGCAGAAAACAUAAACGUCACCUUGAAAAGCAUCCUGACCACUUGAACAUUGUGUCUAAGCUUACACAUAGUAACCAUCACAUCAUUACAUGUUCUCAGAGUGUUAGCACUGAGGGUGAGCAGUGUCAACCAGGCACACAUUUCUUGUACACCAAGUAGAUUUUUGUUCAUUCAUAAAAUUAUAAUAUUUGGUAAUUAGCUACAUCUAUUGGUAUUAAAUUUAUAUAAUAUUAAAUAAAUUUAAAUGUAAUAUUAAUAUAAAGUAAGGAAUGUCUAUUUUUUAAAAGAUUUAUUUAUUUAUUUUAUGUAUAUGAGUACACUGUCACUGUCUUCAGACACACCAGAAGAGGGCAUUGGCUCCCAAUACAGAUGGGUGUGAGCCACCAUGUAGUUGCUGGGAAUUGAACUCAGAACCUCUGGAAGAGCAGCCAGUGCUUUUAAUCGCUGAGCUAUCUCUCCAGCCCAAGGUAUGUCUAUUUUUAAAGACAGGGUCUCACCAUGUAACUCUGGCCAACAUGAAACUUGCUCUGUAGACCAGGCUGGCUUCAAAUUCAGAGAGAUCUGCCUAACCUCUGCCUCCUGAGUGCUAGGGAUUAAAGGUGUGUGUCUGACUUCUAAGGAACCUGGGCAAAAUAUUUUUGUCUACAGUAAAACUUUGUUUUGGCAUGAUAGUCCACAUCCUUUAUAACAAUAUAUUAAAAAGGUCAGUUAUAUACACAUAUACAUACAGACAUAUGUAUAUGUGUGUGUAUGUAUAGAUAGAUGAUAGAUAGAUAGAUAGAUAGAUAGAUAGAUAGAUAGAUAGAUUGAUUGAUUUGGGGAUAAGGGUAUACACUCUGGCAGCCUUAAAUCUUUAGUUUUUACUUACUAAUAGGGUCUCUCUGCAUAGCCCCUGGCUGUCCUAGUAUUCACAUCAUGGACCAGGCUGGCCUCAAACUCACAGAAAUCUGUGUGCCUCUACCUCCAGAGUGUGUGUUAGCAUGCCCAGAUUUCACACACUGAUAAUACCUCCUCAUAGGAGGAGGGAAAGACCUCCUCCAUAAAGUAAAAUCAACGGCGCCCCAUUUAUCCUUUUACUUUCAUCAAACACACACACACACACACACACACACACACACACACACACACACACACACACACACACCACAUACACCCUGAUAACCAAAGAGUUGAGAGACACAGAGUUGUAGAACUUGCUUGUGCAAGUAUCAACUGUUGGAGUCCCCUUCUUCCCAUCUGUUCUUCCAGCUUCUAUUCUGAGUAUGGAACACAUCCUAUCCUUCAGACAAGACUUUAGUCUUUAUCCAGCAUUAAUAUAAAAGGUGUCCACAGAAAAUGAAAUCACACUUUCAAUCGCAGUUUUUUAGCUUGACAAGUAGACCCAGGUAACUGUACUUGAAACCGUUAGAUAUUCUGCAUUUUAAGUCACUCCAUUUUAGAUGUGAUGGAAUUCAAAAUUGUUACAGUAAAAAUAGACUUGUGUGGGGAGGGCCAGUUUGCAUUCAUUCCCACAAAACAGCCUUGGGACAUAAAAAUAUUGACAAUAUAAAUAUCCAAAACUUUCAUAGUGACAUAAUUGAUGUUCUUUUCUUCAUGAGUACUAUUAAAAAUACACAAAUCUAGAAAAUGUACAAGUGUUUAUAUUUUAAAAUACAAUUAAAUACCUACUUCAAAAUUGCACAAAAUACUUUCAGACACGAUUUUUUGGUUGAAUUAAUUUUCCCAGGGCUUUCUUGUCUGUUGUUUGCACUUUAGAGAAACACUAAUUCAACAGCAGCUCAAGGUAGAAGGACAGCAGGCAAACACCAGCCAAGAGCUCCCCUGGGCCCAUGAAAACACACUGUCUUCUAGUAUCUUCACACAUAAAUAAAAAGAAAGAACUCAAGAAAAUUCUUACCCACUGUAAACAUAAUGAUAUGUCCAGAACCAGCAUAACACUUGUAUUAUGCUUUCUUUUUUUUUAAAGAUUUAUUUAUUUAUUUCAUGUAUGUGAGUACACUGUCACUGUCUUCAGAUACACUGGAGGAGGUCAUUGGAUCCCCAUUACAGAUGGUUGUGAGCCACCAUGUGGUUGCUGAGAAUUGAACUCAGGACCUCUGGAAGAGCAGUCAGUGCUCUUAACCACUGAGCCAUCUCUCCAGCCCCUGUAUUAUGCUUUCUGCACUCAAAUCUUUAACACCAUCUGCUUGAUUCUCAGAAUAACUCUAUAGAAUUAAAUAAAUGAGUCUGGUAGGCUCAUUUUAUAAACCAGAAAAAAGCAGGCAAAGGUAGCUUAGAGAUAUGUUCUCUGAUUCUUUCCUUAGUGUUCUUUAUACAAACCACUUUGCUUUUCACACACAUUAAGUCAUUAUGGCUUAAGCAUAAGAGCCUUACAGUGUCAAAAAUGCCAGGUUCAUUGGGUAAUUAGAUAUACUUCGCAAUGUAUAGCAUAGAACAGAUAGACAUAUUAUAAAACACUGUGAUAAAAUGUCCUUUCCAUGCCUAUUCAAGCAGUAAGUUAAAACUUUUAAUCCCAGCA
This is a non-coding RNA of Rattus norvegicus (Norway rat), 6949 nucleotides long. Lineage: Eukaryota; Metazoa; Chordata; Mammalia; Rodentia; Muridae. The record is from RefSeq and is a predicted model, not a curated record.